Molecule: long non-coding RNA, 503 nt
Filed under: Androctonus crassicauda
Lineage: Eukaryota; Metazoa; Arthropoda; Arachnida; Scorpiones; Buthidae
Source: RNAcentral
CUAUUAAUAAUCGCUUGAGAUGGGUUAUCUAUUGGUUUAUUAUUUUUGCUUUUUCUCAUGAUAUAGUGAUGUUUUUUUCGUAUGCUUCUAUUGCUAAGGCGGUAUUAAGCCUCGUACACACUUGUGAACCGAAUGGCAAAGUGCUCAAAGUACUGCAACAUUUCUCCAAACCUGCAACAAAAGUGCGCAACAUAUCCGCGAUCCAUCGGAUGUCGGUAUUUCUGCGAACCAUCAAAAGGCGUUGCGCGAUCAUGUUUCAUCAAAUCUGGAUGGCUGUUGACGAUCAGUAAAGGUAGUCGUUAGAAAGGUUGUUUACUUAAUCACACGAAAAUGGAAUGAUCAAAGGAUAUGACUUUAAAAUAUAUAGAAUCUUUCAUAAACGGUUAUGGCUUCUCUUAAAAACAUAUUUCUUUUAGCGAUUUUGGGUCCAAUUAAAUUUAAAAGUAAAUCGUAAUCAUCAGAAUGCAUUCCGGUAAAAUUAUGAAACUGUCUGUUUGAUUCUU